GACGAACGCUGGCGGCGUGCUUAACACAUGCAAGUCGAACGGAAAGGCCCUGCUUUUGUGGGGUGCUCGAGUGGCGAACGGGUGAGUAACACGUGAGUAACCUGCCCUUGACUUUGGGAUAACUUCAGGAAACUGGGGCUAAUACCGGAUAGGAGCUCCUGCUGCAUGGGGGGGGUUGGAAAGUUUCGGCGGUUGUGGAUGGACUCGCGGCUUAUCCGCUUGUUGGGGGGGUAGUGGCUUACCAAGGCUUUGACGGGUAGCCGGCCUGAGAGGGUGACCGGCCACAUUGGGACUGAGAUACGGCCCAGACUCCUACGGGAGGCAGCAGUGGGGAAUAUUGCACAAUGGGCGGAAGCCUGAUGCAGCAACGCCGCGUGCGGGAUGACGGCCUUCGGGUUGUAAACCGCUUUCGCCUGUGACGAAGCGUGAGUGACGGUAAUGGGUAAAGAAGCACCGGCUAACUACGUG
RNAcentral lists this ribosomal RNA (468 nucleotides) under uncultured bacterium. RNAcentral's name for it is "partial 16S ribosomal RNA". It matches the Rfam family "Bacterial small subunit ribosomal RNA", at positions 28 to 507 of the family's 1533-position model. The record is from RNAcentral.